CCUACGGGAGGCAGCAGUAGGGAAUUUUCGUCAAUGGGCGCAAGCCUGAACGAGCAAUGCCGCGUGAACGAGGAAGGUCUUCGGAUCGUAAAGUUCUGUUGAAGGGGAAAAAGAGCGGAGAGAGGAAAUGCUUUCUGAUUGAUAUUACCCUUCGAGGAAGUCACGGCUAACUACGUGCCAGCAGCCGCGGUAAUACGUAGGUGGCGAGCGUUAUCCGGAUUUAUUGGGUUUAAAGGGUGCGCAGGCGGAUUUUUAAGUCAGCGGUCAAAUCGUGGGGCUCAACCCCAUCCAGCCGUUGAAACUGGGGAUCUAGAGUGUGCGAGAGGUAUGCGGAAUGCGUGGUGUAGCGGUGAAAUGCAUAGAUAUCACGCAGAACCCCGAUUGCGAAGGCAGCAUACCGGUGCACAACUGACGCUCAGGCACGAAAGCGUGGGUAUCGAACAGGAUUAGAUACCCUUGUAGUC
RNAcentral lists this ribosomal RNA (464 nucleotides) under uncultured bacterium. Its description in RNAcentral is "partial 16S ribosomal RNA". It matches the Rfam family "Bacterial small subunit ribosomal RNA", at positions 338 to 795 of the family's 1533-position model. The record is from RNAcentral.